AAAAAGGCUUGUCACUAUAUCGAACGACGUUAGUGCGAUUAUUACCACGGAACCAUCGUCACUAAAUUAGAACAAUGUACCAAAUAAUAUAAUAUAAUUCGAGUUGUGGCUCAAUAGUCGAAGGUUAGUCUAAUUUAAUAUUAUACUCGUAUUAUACAUGCGUACCUAAAAUGAUAAAUACAACACGAUUUAGACAAUGCGAAAUCACUAAACGGUGCGGUGUCGACAUUGGUGUAAGAAAUCUCGAAUAUUUCGAUACGUGAUAUAAUCAAUCACGGUGAUGUUGGCUGAUAGUGCAUAUUUGUUUAAACAAAAUUAGUUUG
Molecule: non-coding RNA, 323 nt
Organism: Cinara cedri
Lineage: Eukaryota; Metazoa; Arthropoda; Insecta; Hemiptera; Aphididae
Source: the annotation of a GenBank genome assembly